AAAUACUAUUUAAAGAUAAAAGCAUUUUUAUAAAUGAUAAACACUCACCGUAAUACAUGGUUAGAAAUAUACUAUGAAAUAAAACUGACCGUAAAACAUAAAUCAUUCAAUAUAGAAGCAGUCUUGGGCGCCUUUUUGCAAUAAAAUAACUAACUUUUUUAAAUUGUUAACUAAAUAAUCUUUAUAAGUAGUCGCCCGUUGUCAGGAAAACCUGGAAAUGUCACGGAUUUUUUAAAUCCACCUUACAAAGCCAGAAAAUGUCAUGGAAAAAGUCAACGGGAUCGAGUGUGCCGGAUAUACCUAAGGCCCGUUUGACAUUGCAGGACAUUUCGCGUAGUGCUGUUCGCAUGCCGAAGACUUGGCUGGUGGCAAACAAAACUUUCAAUGGAGUCUACAUCAUUGGAUUUUAUACGAUCAGUUUUUGUAAAAAUUUCUGAGAUACUGUCUUCCUCCUGAUUGAGAAACAAGUAACCCUAUCCGAAGAUAGCGAGGGUAUACGUGCGAAGAUUAAUGUUAUGGGCCAUCCCGUCGGUGCUGCAAUUGGAUUACUCACUGAGGAACCGAUCACUGAGAUUCAGUAUCCAUCAUUCAACUGUCGUUCGACAUUUAAAAGCCAUGGAAAAAGUAAAAAAGUUGGAUAAAUGGGUUCCCCAUAAACUGACAGAAAAGGAUAAGAUGAAACGUUUAGACCACACAUUGCAAAAAAAAUCGUAAAAAAACUAGACAAAUUGAAGUUCGAAGUUUUUCUUCAUUUUCCUUAUUCUCCAGACAUUUCACCAACAGAUUACCAUCUAUUUAAGCAUCUGGAUGGGUUUUUAACUGGGAAAAUUUUUCAAGAAAGACUUGUAAAAAAUGCAUUCCACGAAUUCAUCAACUCUUGUUCUUCAGAUUUCUUUAAGAAUGACAUUGAUGCACUUAUAUCACGUUGUCAAAAGUGCAUUGAAGCAGAUGGAAACUAUUUCGAUUAAUAAAACAAGUUUUAAGCUUAUCAAAUAAAAGUCUAAAGUUUAUUACUAAAGUAAAUUAAAAAACGGCCAUUUUAUUUGCAUCAACCUAAUAUUCCGAAGAAUCAGCGUACUGUGAUACAGAAAAUUUUGCAGACAAGUCAGUGCGAAAGCUCCAAAGGGAGACGAUACUCUCAAAAAUGGAUCCUGCUAUGCAUAUUAAUGUGUAUGCGUUUUCCCCAAGGAUAUAGAUUCUUACGUGACCAAAGCAUAUUGCCUUUACUCAACACACGGACAGUUCGAAGGUAUCUCUGUCAUCGAUACAAAGUGUGAAUUCCAGAACUUUUUAAAAUUGUUUUGCCAAAUUCAUGAUCGACAAACCAGACCUGCAGAAGCACGGAGCACAUCUCAUUGACUAAAUGUCCACUCGCAAAAGCAUCAGCGUUAAAAGUACCAAAUCUAACGUACAAAGGUCUUGUGAAUUUUGAUGAAGAUGAUCACGCCACAAAUACCGGUGACAAGUAUUCUAUGACUUUUAAAUUUUAUAAACUCUUGUAAUUGCUUUAUCAAACAUUAUCAAUAAGUAUAUAGUAUUGACAAGACUAGUAUUUUCAAGACUGUCUUUCAUUGCGCUUUCUGUAAUUUGUAGUAUCAAUUCUAUACAACUUUCAAAAGAGGAGAUUUUUACAAUUAUUUAUAGUUUCUAUGAAGUCGCAAUAAAAUAAUAAUUAAAAUUCAUACAAAUUUAACCAAUCAGAUUUCAAAAUAGAGAUUUGAAGCUUGAAAAUACUUAUUUAUUUUUAAAUCCUUAUUUAGUUACUCGCUAUUUAAUUUCUAACUUGUAUAUAAUAAUGUAUUGUGUUCAAAAUAUUUUACUUUUUUUUAUUUUUCUUCGGAAAUACAAAUGAACGAUACCAGUCGAUUUAUGCACCACCAAGCGGAUUAAUGUUCCUAUAAAACAAAACCUGGCCGCGCAAAACUCGGCAGGUCAUCCCCGUGUUUCUAUCUAAGAGCGGUAUUCAUAGUUCGUUCUUGUAUUUAAGAUCGUCUUAAAUCGUUGUCGUCGUCGUCUUAAGAUACUAAUAUAGUAUUCUGAUUGGUUCGUAGCAUCUUAAGAUAAUUUUUUACAACGAUGAUCUACUUCUCCGAUUUGUAAAUCUACAUGAAUAAAAAUGUACCUUAAUCAUUAAAAUUUUCAACUCAGCCAAUUUUUUGACCAUACAUAUUUUAUUAACAAUAUCAUUUUGAGGACAAACGUUUGAGAAUAUUUUAUUAUUAGUUAAUAAUGUACAUUAGACAUGUGUGUCUACUUACAGUGCUGGAAAAUACAUAUUGUACAAACGUAGUUCUUGCUAAUUAAUAUAAUACAACGAUCACUGUUCAUUUGAUGAGUAUUCAAUAA
Linepithema humile (Argentine ant) is the source of this 2346-nucleotide long non-coding RNA. RefSeq lists it as uncharacterized. The record is from RefSeq and is a predicted model, not a curated record. Lineage: Eukaryota; Metazoa; Arthropoda; Insecta; Hymenoptera; Formicidae.